CCUACGGGCGGCUGCAGUGGGGAAUAUUGGACAAUGGGGGCAACCCUGAUCCAGCCAUGCCGCGUGUGUGAAGAAGGCCCUCGGGUUGUAAAGCACUUUCAGUGAGGAAGAACGCCUGGUGGUUAAUACCCAUCAGGAAAGACAUCACUCACAGAAGAAGCACCGGCUAACUCCGUGCCAGCAGCCGCGGUAAUACGGAGGGUGCGAGCGUUAAUCGGAAUUACUGGGCGUAAAGCGCGCGUAGGUGGCUUGAUAAGCCGGUUGUGAAAGCCCCGGGCUCAACCUGGGAACGGCAUCCGGAACUGUCAAGCUAGAGUGCAGGAGAGGAAGGUAGAAUUCCCGGUGUAGCGGUGAAAUGCGUAGAGAUCGGGAGGAAUACCAGUGGCGAAGGCGGCCUUCUGGACUGACACUGACACUGAGGUGCGAGAGCGUGGGUAGCAAACAGGAUUAGAUACCCUUGUAGUC
RNAcentral lists this ribosomal RNA (465 nucleotides) under Vreelandella stevensii. RNAcentral describes it as "partial 16S ribosomal RNA". It matches the Rfam family "Bacterial small subunit ribosomal RNA", at positions 338 to 795 of the family's 1533-position model. The record is from RNAcentral. Lineage: Bacteria; Pseudomonadati; Pseudomonadota; Gammaproteobacteria; Oceanospirillales; Halomonadaceae.